This 777-nucleotide ribosomal RNA is filed under the name uncultured Neocallimastigales. RNAcentral's name for it is "partial large subunit ribosomal RNA". It matches the Rfam family "Eukaryotic large subunit ribosomal RNA", at positions 24 to 645 of the family's 3401-position model. The record is from RNAcentral. Lineage: Eukaryota; Fungi; Neocallimastigomycota; Neocallimastigomycetes; Neocallimastigales.
UAUCUCUGUAGAGUCUGCAUAUCAAUAAGCGGAGGAAAAGAAACUAACUAGGAUUCCCUCAGUAACGGCGAGUGAAGCGGGAAGAGCUCAAAUUUGAAAUCUUCAAGGUUUUACCUUGACGAAUUGUAGUUUAAAGAAGUGUUUUCUGUUGGUGUUUUGGUAAAAGUUCUUUGGAAUAGGACAUCAUAGAGGGUGAGAAUCCCGUAUUUGACCGUUACUUUCCAGCUGUGUGAUACACUUUCAAAGAGUCGGAUUGUUUGGGAAUGCAGUCCAAAAUGGGUGGUAAAUUUCAUCUAAAGCUAAAUACUGGCGAGAGACCGAUAGCAAACAAGUACCGUGAGGGAAAGGUGAAGAGAACUUUGAAAAGAGAGUUAAACAGUACGUGAAAUUGUCAAAAGGGAAGCGUUUGACACCAGUGUUGUUUUCUCGAAAAUCAAUUAAAAAUGACUUGAUUUUGUGUUGUAUUGACCUUAAAAGCUUUCUUCACUCUUUUCAUGUUAUUUUUAAUGCACUUUUCGUUUAACAAGUCAACAUCAAUUUCUUUUGUUGUAAAAAGGUCAUUGGAAGGUGGCUUUCUUUUCGGAGAAAGUGUUUAUAGCCUUUGACUCCUGCAAUCGGAGAGACUGAGGUCUGCAGCGUAGAUCCUUCUUGGAUUAGAUUCAUUUGUGCUAAGUUAUAGCUUUUUAUAGACAACUUGUUGACUAUAGUUUAGUCUUGUAGCUUACUCGCUUAUGUAAUUUUACCUACGCUUAGGAUGUUGAUCUCUCACAGUCGAGC